GUUACUUGACUGGUACCUCCAGCCCACCAGCAGGCAAUGAUGGCAUCAGACUAGAGGAUCACCAGUAAAUCAUUGUAAACAUUCUUGAAUAUGAGUCAGUCUGGUAUGAACAUACCUCUAACAGCCUCGCAUACACACUUGCUGAUCUCCCCCUUACAAGCAACAGAAAACAGGUCUUGACCCAGAGCCUUCAACAAACAAGCGUGGAAAGAGAGAAAGUCCACUUUAAGCGAUGGAAAAUCAGCCCCAAUUCUGAAGGAACAACCAUGAACAGAUGAUUUAAGGAGAAUCAAUUCUUUGCUCUUUGCAGAAGGAGCCAACAGAGUGAGAUGAAGGGGACAACUUCAGAUACUCAGGCAGAAGCAUAAGUCCCCACCUGCUGACCUGCUGCCUGCUAUCUUAACACGAAUUCUUCAUCUGAAUGGAUGAGCUUUUCACAGAGUUCCAAACUAAGGAAUCCAGGAGUGGCCAAUCCAGAGAUUCAUUCCUUAUCUUUGACGAACAUCUGAACUCCUGGCUCAUCCUGUGGAAUUCAGGCCAUACAGGAGAUCAAGGUCAUUUGCUUUGGGUUAAAUGAAUGUUGCCAGGUGGAGGUUGCUAGAGGGAGAGUGCUAUGUGAAAGUGCUGUAUAAACUGCUUGCUUUUCACAAACAGUAGUGAUUCUUUAUCCUGUCCAGCCUGCCACAACUGGACCAUCCUGUAUGUAAGUCCCCUUAAUAAAUCCUGUGUCUCAUUCA
Molecule: long non-coding RNA, 737 nt
Filed under: Homo sapiens (human)
Lineage: Eukaryota; Metazoa; Chordata; Mammalia; Primates; Hominidae
Description: uncharacterized LOC101928721, transcript variant 10 (LOC101928721)
Source: RNAcentral